GACGAACGCUGGCGGCGUGCAUCACACAUGCAAGUGGAGCGACGAACCGGGCUUCGGCCCGGGGCAGAGCCGCGAACGGGUGAGUAACACGUGGGUAACCUGCCCUGAUGAUCGGGACAACCCGAGGAAACUCGGGCUAAUACCGGAUGUGCCCUUUGACCAAAAGGUCGCUGGGGAAAGGAAGCUUCGGCCUCCGCAUCGGGAUGGGCCCGCGGCGCAUUAGCUUGUUGGUGAGGUAACGGCUCACCAAGGCGACGAUGCGUAGCUGGUCUGAGAG
Molecule: ribosomal RNA, 277 nt
Filed under: uncultured bacterium
Lineage: Bacteria
Description: partial 16S ribosomal RNA
Rfam family: Bacterial small subunit ribosomal RNA
Source: RNAcentral